GACCGCUCCGGUGGCCUAAUGGUUAGAGCGUCCGCCUCGGAUGCGGGAGGUCACGGGUUUGAUUCCCUGCCUAGUCA
This is a non-coding RNA of Potamilus streckersoni, 77 nucleotides long. The record is from the annotation of a GenBank genome assembly. NCBI's taxonomy places the organism in Eukaryota, Metazoa, Mollusca, Bivalvia, Unionida, Unionidae.